Myriangium duriaei CBS 260.36 is the source of this 124-nucleotide non-coding RNA. NCBI's taxonomy places the organism in Eukaryota, Fungi, Ascomycota, Dothideomycetes, Myriangiales, Myriangiaceae. The record is from the annotation of a GenBank genome assembly.
AGCUGAGUGGCGCAGCGGAAGCGCGGUAAGCUAUCACAUCUGAUCACACCAGUCAAGCAGCUACUAACAUGUAAUAGCCGGGCUCAUAACCCGGAGGACAGUGGAUCGAAACCACUCUCAGCUA